CCCUUCCUCUACUAAAUGAGCCCCGUCACAAAACUAACGUUCUCCUUAAGCCUUCUACUAGGAACAACCAUCACAAUUUCAAGCAAUCACUGAAUACUAGCCUGGACUGGACUAGAAAUCAGCACCCUUGCCAUUAUCCCCUUCAUUUCAAAAUCACACCACCCUCGAGCUAUCGAAGCUGCAAUCAAAUACUUUCUCGUCCAAGCAACCGCCUCCGCAUUAAUCCUCUUCUCAAGCACAAUCAAUGCACAAUUCACCGGACAAUGAGACAUUCUGCGACUAAGCCACCCAACAGCCUCCCUACUACUAACUACAGCAAUCGCAAUAAAACUAGGCCUAGUACCCUUUCACUUCUGAUGUCCAGAGGUCAUACAAGGCUCACCUAUAACCACUGCCCUACUCCUCUCUACAUUAAUAAAACUCCCCCCCAUCACUAUUCUUUUCUUAACUGCCCCCUCACUGAACCCACUCCUACUGACAACCGUGGCCAUUGCAUCCGCAGCCAUCGGAGGGUGAAUAGGACUUAACCAAACACAAAUCCGAAAAGUCCUAGCUUUCUCAUCAAUCGCCCACCUAGGCUGAAUAACCAUCAUCCUCAUAUACAACCCCAAGCUAACAAUAAUAACCUUCUACCUAUACUCCAUAAUAACCGCCUCCAUUUUCUUAGCCCUCAGCACAACCAACUCCUCAAAACUAUCCACAAUAAUAACCUCCUGAACAAAAAUACCAUCACUAAACGCAUCCUUGAUGCUAGCACUACUAUCCCUAGCCAGCCUACCCCCACUCACUGGCUUUUUACCAAAAUGACUCAUUAUCCAGGAACUAACUAAGCAAGAGAUAUCAACCGCAGCCAUAAUUAUUUCAAUACUCUCCCUACUAGGUUUAUUUUUCUACCUACGCCUUGCAUAUUGCUCCACAAUCACACUCCCACCAAACACUACAAACUUCGUAAAACAAUGAUACAAUAACAAAUCCACAGGCACACCAAUUGCUACCUUAAUUUCCCUGUUAGUCCUCCUUCUCCCCCUUUCUCCCGCGAUCUUGACCAUUACCUAAGAAACUUAGGUUACCCUGCCUACCAAACCGAAGGCCUUCAAAGCCUUAAAUAAGAGUUAAAUCCUCUUAGUUUCUGCCCACACCACUAAGGCCCGCAGGACACUAAACCUGCACCAUCUAAAUGCAACUCAGAUACUCUAAUUCAGCUAGGGCCUCCACGAUAAGCCUAGACAGAUGGGCCUCGAUCCCAUAAACUUCUAAUUAACAGCUAGACGCUCAAACCAACAAGCUUCUGUCUACCGGACUCCGGCACACUCUCAGUGUACAUCAAUGAGUUUGCAACUCAACAUGAACUUCACCACAGAGUCGAUAAGAAGAGGAAUUAAACCUCUGUAAAAAGGACUACAGCCUAACACCUAAACACUCAGCCAUCUUACCCAUGACCUUCAUCAACCGAUUACUAUUUUCAACAAACCACAAAGACAUUGGUACCCUAUACCUACUCUUCAGAGCAUGGGCAGGCAUAGCCGGUACGGUACCGCCCUCAGCCUCCUUAUUCGAGCAGAACUCGGCCAACCAGGAACUCUCCUAGGAGACGAACAAAUCAUCGUCACCACCCAUGCCUUCGUAAUAAUCUUCUUCAUAGUUAUACCCAUUAUAAUCGGAGGGUUUGGAAACUGACUAGUGCCCCUUAUGAUUGGAGCCCCAGACGUAGCAUUCCCCCGCAUAAACAACAUAAGUUUCUGACUACUUCCUCCAUCCUUCCUACUGCUCCUAGCGUCCUCCACAGUAGAAGCUGGAGUCGGAACAGGAUGAACCGUAUACCCGCCCCUAGCAGGCAACCUAGCCCAUGCUGGUGCCUCAGUAGACCUAGCCAUCUUCUCCCUACACCUCGCAGGUGUGUCUUCCAUCUUAGGGGCCAUCAACUUUAUCACAACAGCCAUUAACAUAAACUCCCCUGCCUUAUCGCAAUAUCAAACUCCCCUAUUCGUAUGAUCCGUACUCAUCACCGCCGUACUCCUAUUGCUCUCACUUCCAGUCCUGGCCGCCGGCAUCACCAUACCACUGACCGACCGAAACCUAAACACUACAUUCUUUGACCCCGAUGGAGAAGGAGACCCCAUUCUCUACCAGCACCUGUUCUGAUUCUUUGGCCACCCAGAAGUUUACGUCUUAAUCCUUCCCGGCUUUGGAAUCAUCUCACACGUUGUAACAUAUUACGCAGGCAAAAAAGAACCAUUCGGCUACAUAGGAAUAGUCUGAGCUAUACUAUCGAUUGGAUUCCUCGGCUUUAUCGUAUGAGCCCACCACAUAUUCACUGUCGGAAUAGACGUAGACACCCGAGCAUACUUCACCUCUGCCACUAUAAUCAUCGCCAUCCCAACUGGCAUUCAGGUAUUCAGCUGACUGGCCACACUACACGGAGGCACCAUCAAAUGAGAUCCACCGAUACUGUGAGCCUUGAGCUUCAUCUUCCUCUUCACAAUUGGAGGACUAACAGGUAUUAUACUAGCAAACUCCUCAUUAGACAUUGCCUUACACGACACAUACUAUGUAGUCUCCCACUUUCAUUACGUCCUCUCAACAGGAGCUGUAUUUGCCAUCCUAGCCGGAUUUACCCACUGAUUCCCACUAUUUACCGGAUACACCCUCCACCCCACAUGAUCUAAAACCCACUUCAGAAUUAUAUUCAUCGGCAUAAACCUAACAUUCUUCCCCCAACAUUUCCUAGGUCUAGCCGGCAUACCACGACGUUACUCAGACUACCCUGACGCCUACACCCUAUGAAACACCCUAUCCUCUAUUGGCUCCCUAAUUUCAAUAACAGCCGCAAUCUUACUAAUAUUCAUCAUCUGAGAGGCAUUUGCAGCAAAACGAAAAGUCCUCCAAACAGAAUUAACCGCUACCAACAUCGAGUGAAUCUACGGCUGCCCACCCCCCUAUCACACCUUUGAAGAACCAACCUUCGUCCAAACCCAAGAAAGGAAGGAAUCGAACCCUCACACGCUGGUUUCAAGCCAACUGCAUCAAACCGCUUAUGCUUCUUUCUUAU
This is an RNA transcript of Falco peregrinus (peregrine falcon), 3049 nucleotides long. It is a transcript of the gene named NADH-ubiquinone oxidoreductase chain 2-like, with no coding region annotated. The record is from RefSeq and is a predicted model, not a curated record. NCBI's taxonomy places the organism in Eukaryota, Metazoa, Chordata, Aves, Falconiformes, Falconidae. The transcript has a single exon.